This 253-nucleotide ribosomal RNA is filed under the name uncultured bacterium. RNAcentral's name for it is "partial 16S ribosomal RNA". It matches the Rfam family "Bacterial small subunit ribosomal RNA", at positions 524 to 776 of the family's 1533-position model. The record is from RNAcentral.
UACGGAGGGUGCUAGCGUUGCUCGGAAUCACUGGGCGUAAAGCGCACGUAGGCGGAUUGUUAAGUCAGGGGUGAAAUCCUGGAGCUCAACUCCAGAACUGCCUUUGAUACUGGCGAUCUUGAGUCCGGGAGAGGUGAGUGGAACUGCGAGUGUAGAGGUGAAAUUCGUAGAUAUUCGCAAGAACACCAGUGGCGAAGGCGGCGCACUGGCCCGGUACUGACGCUGAGGUGCGAAAGCGUGGGGAGCAAACAGG